GGUUAAGCGACUAAGCGUACACGGUGGAUGCCCUCGGCAGUCAGAGGCGAUGAAGGACGUGCUAAUCUGCGAAAAGCGUCGGUAAGGUGAUAUGAACCGUUACAGCCGGCGAUGUCCGAAUGGGGAAACCCAGUGCAAUUCGUUGCACUAUCGUUAACUGAAUACAUAGGUUAACGAGGCGAACCGGGGAACUGAAACAUCUAAGUACCCCGAGGAAAAGAAAUCAACCGAGAUUCCCCCCAGUAGCGGCGAGCGAACGGGGAGCAGCCCAGAGUCUGAAUCAGCUUGUGUGUUAGUGGAACGGUCUGGAAAGUCCGACGGUACAGGGUGAUAGUCCCGUACACCAAAAUGCACAGGUUGUGAACUCGAAGAGUAGGGCGGGACACGUGGUAUCCUGUCUGAAUAUGGGGGACCAUCCUCCAAGGCUAAAUACUCCUGACUGACCGAUAGUGAACCAGUACCGUGAGGGAAAGGCGAAAAGAACCCCGGCGAGGGGAGUGAAAAAGAACCUGAAACCGUGUACGUACAAGCAGUGGGAGCACCUUCGGGUGUGACUGCGUACCUUUGUAUAAUGGGUCAGCGACUUAUAUUCUGUAGCAAGGUUAACCGUAUAGGGGAGCCGCAGGGAAACCGAGUCUUAACUGGGCGUUAAGUUGCAGGGUAUAGACCCGAAACCCGGUGAUCUAGCCAUGGGCAGGUUGAAGGUUGGGUAACACUAACUGGAGGACCGAACCGACUAAUGUUGAAAAAUUAGCGGAUGACUUGUGGCUGGGGGUGAAAGGCCAAUCAAACCGGGAGAUAGCUGGUUCUCCCCGAAAGCUAUUUAGGUAGCGCCUCGUGAACUCAUCUUCGGGGUAGAGCACUGUUUCGGCUAGGGGUCAUCCCGACUUACCAACCCGAUGCAAACUACGAAUACCGAAGAAUGUUAUCACGGGAGACACACGGCGGGUGCUAACGUCCGUCGUGAAGAGGGAAACAACCCAGACCGCCAGCUAAGGUCCCAAAGUCAUGGUUAAGUGGGAAACGAUGUGGGAAGGCACAGACAGCCGAGGAUGUUGGCUUAGAAGCAGCCAUCAUUUAAAGAAAGCGUAAUAGCUCACUGGUCGAGUCGGCCUGCGCGGAAGAUGUAACGGGGCUAAACCAUGCACCGAAGCUGCGGCAGCGACACUAUGUGUUGUUGGGUAGGGGAGCGUUCUGUAAGCCUGCGAAGGUGUGCUGUGAGGCAUGCUGGAGGUAUCAGAAGUGCGAAUGCUGACAUAAGUAACGAUAAAGCGGGUGAAAAGCCCGCUCGCCGGAAGACCAAGGGUUCCUGUCCAACGUUAAUCGGGGCAGGGUGAGUCGACCCCUAAGGCGAGGCCGAAAGGCGUAGUCGAUGGGAAACAGGUUAAUAUUCCUGUACUUGGUGUUACUGCGAAGGGGGACGGAGAAGGCUAUGUUAGCCGGGCGACGGUUGUCCCGGUUUAAGCAUGUAGGCUGGUUAUCCAGCAAAUCCGGAUAAUCAAGGCUGAGGUGUGAUGACGAGGCACUACGGUGCUGAAGUAACAAAUGCCCUGCUUCCGUGAAAAGCCUCUAAGCAUCAGGUAACAUCAAAUCGUACCCCAAACCGACACAGGUGGUCAGGUAGAGAAUACCAAGGCGCUUGAGAGAACUCGGGUGAAGGAACUAGGCAAAAUGGUGCCGUAACUUCGGGAGAAGGCACGCUGGUGUGUAGGUGAAGUCCCUGCGGAUGGAGCUGAGACCAGUCGAAGAUACCAGCUGGCUGCAACUGUUUAUUAAAAACACAGCACUGUGCAAACACGAAAGUGGACGUAUACGGUGUGACGCCUGCCCGGUGCCGGAAGGUUAAUUGAUGGGGUUAUCCGUAAGGAGAAGCUCUUGAUCGAAGCCCCGGUAAACGGCGGCCGUAACUAUAACGGUCCUAAGGUAGCGAAAUUCCUUGUCGGGUAAGUUCCGACCUGCACGAAUGGCGUAAUGAUGGCCGAGGCUGUCUCCACCCGAGACUCAGUGAAAUUGAACUCGCUGUGAAGAUGCAGUGUACCCGCGGCAAGACGGAAAGACCCCGUGAACCUUUACUAUAGCUUGACACUGAACAUUGAGCCUUGAUGUGUAGGAUAGGUGGGAGGCUUUGAAGCGUGGACGCCAGUCUGCGUGGAGCCAACCUUGAAAUACCACCCUUUAAUGUUUGAUGUUCUAACGUUGGCCCCUGACCGGGGUUGCGGACAGUGUCUGGUGGGUAGUUUGACUGGGGCGGUCUCCUCCCAAAGCGUAACGGAGGAGCACGAAGGUUAGCUAAUCCCCGGUCGGACAUCAGGAGGUUAGUGCAAUGGCAUAAGCUAGCUUGACUGCGAGCGUGACGGCGCGAGCAGGUGCGAAAGCAGGUCAUAGUGAUCCGGUGGUUCUGAAUGGAAGGGCCAUCGCUCAACGGAUAAAAGGUACUCCGGGGAUAACAGGCUGAUACCGCCCAAGAGUUCAUAUCGACGGCGGUGUUUGGCACCUCGAUGUCGGCUCAUCACAUCCUCGGGGCUGAAGUAGGUCCCAAGGGUAUGGCUGUUCGCCAUUUAAAGUGGUACGCGAGCUGGGUUUAGAACGUCGUGAGACAGUUCGGUCCCUAUCUGCCGUGGGCGCUGGAGAAUUGAGGGGGCUGCUCCUAGUACGAGAGGACCGGAGUGGACGCAUCACUGGUGUUCGGGUUGUCAUGCCAAUGGCACUGCCCGGUAGCUAAAUGCGGAAGAGAUAAGUGCUGAAAGCAUCUAAGCACGAAACUUGCCCCGAGAUGAGUUCUCCCUGAGACUAUAAGUCUCCUGAAGGAACGUUAAAGACGAUGACGUUGAUAGGCCGGGUGUGUAAGCGCAGCGAUGCGUUGAGCUAACCGGUACUAAUGAACCGUGAGGCUUAACCUU
Molecule: ribosomal RNA, 2900 nt
Filed under: Klebsiella pneumoniae
Lineage: Bacteria; Pseudomonadati; Pseudomonadota; Gammaproteobacteria; Enterobacterales; Enterobacteriaceae
Description: 23S ribosomal RNA
Rfam family: Bacterial large subunit ribosomal RNA
Source: RNAcentral